RNAcentral lists this long non-coding RNA (7098 nucleotides) under Manihot esculenta (cassava). RNAcentral's name for it is "long non-coding RNA (MESC_LNC010165)". The record is from RNAcentral. Lineage: Eukaryota; Viridiplantae; Streptophyta; Magnoliopsida; Malpighiales; Euphorbiaceae.
UGUUUUAACGGUUUAGAAUGGAAAUGGAUUGAGUUUUGAAGAGAAAAGGCCAAGGAGGCAUUUUGCCAUGUUCGGCCGCCGAAGGUAAUGUUCGGCCGCCGAAAAUGCCCUAGAUUCGGCCCCCGAAAGUCUGAGUUCGGCCGCCGAACAUUGCACGGUUUUGCAUGCGAUUCGGCUGCCGAAGCUGAGGCGGUUGUUCAUCUAUAAAGGGCACCGAGUCCAGAAAAAAGGAGGAGGAUUCUUCUCUCUUUCUGGCCUAGGUGAGUUCUUGAUCUCCUUGGAUUGUUUUCAUGGUUUUUCUUCAAAUCUUUCAAAGUUAAACAAGUUUUAAGUCAGGUUUAUGUGUUUUUGAAUAGUUUGAAAGCUUAGAGAAGUUUGGAGCUUGGAUCUCCAUAUCUUCGAGUUUGGAUCCUACCAGCCUUUGUACUUCAAGAGGUAAGUGUUGAUCCAUGGUUUUUCUAAUGUUUUAGAUGAGUUUUAUGACGGGGAAAGGGAGUUUGCAUGAUUGUGCAUCUUAGGGUUUAUGUACCCUUUGUGCAUGUUUGAUGUGUAUAUGGUUAGUGUUGGGGUUUUGAGCUUGUUUUCAGCCCCUAUGAGCUAGUAGAAGUGUUUAUGCAUGAUUUGGAGAGGUUAGAUGCAUGUGGUGAGAGUGUAGCAGGGGUUGGAGGGUCUAGAAAGCGUCCUUGUGCACGAAGCUGAGUUCUGGAUGAACUCAGGUUCGGCAGCCGAAGGAGGAUUCGGCCGCCGAAUAUGCCCGACUUUCAUCUCUGGAGGAGACAUUGGGCCGCCGAAGGUGCUGCCGAAGGUGUCUUGUCCAACCUUCCUUUGCUUGUUUUGCAUGCAUGUUUUGAGGUGUUCUAGAGGGAUUUUGGGGAGUUGUUUAUCAGUUGUAUAGAGUAUGUUUGGUGCCUCAUUUGUGUCCUCCAUUGUAGGAUUGGACCCGAGGAACCGAGGUGUUUAGCAGUAAUAGCUGCUUCAGAGUUAGAGGUAGCCCAGAGUUAGCCAAGCAGUGGCUACAGGUGAGUGGAACUAAACUUCAUAUUUUACUUGAGAAAUGACACGCUUCUAGCAUGAUCCAUGCAUCGUAAAAUGCCAUGUUAUGUAUUAGGUUGUGUUGCAUUAGAAUUCAUGAAUAUGAUGCAUUGCAUAAGAUGUUGUUCAUGUGGAUGAAUGUUGGAUGAUCCUUAGCCCUUGAUAUGAGAUCAGAGAUUAUGAGUUGAGAUAUGGCAUGAGGUAGCCAUACCAGGUCGCUCCUGGAUAGUCCAGGUCGCUCCUGGUACUAUGAAUUAGAUAGACAGCCUGUCAAAUCAAAGAUCAGAGAAGUCCAGGUGAUGACCUAGUCUCCUUGGCACAGUGGGACAUGUUAUGAUAUGAGUUAGAUAAGAGAAGUCCAGGUGAUGACCUAGUCUCCUUGGCACAGCAGGACAUAUUAUGACAUGUAGUAGAGGGCUAUUGGUGACAAAUUCAUCCGUGAGAUGCUAUGUUUGUGAUGUGAUGCAUUCCAUAAGAGCAUGUAAUGAAUGACUUGUUUUAUUGUUCCUCCUCACUGGGAUAUAGAGCUCAUCCCACUCCCUUAACCCCAGUUUUGCAGGUUCCGAGAUAGCUAUGGGAAGUCAGAGUCAACAAGAAUAAAGAAAGCUAUGCAUGAAUGUAUGUUUGUAAUAGCGUAGUGGACAUGAUGUAAAUAAAAGAUUAGUUGUAAUGUAAUGUAUAGAUAUGUACUGUCAUGUACUGGAUAGACUUGUGCUUUCCCUAGUGUCUUUGCUUUAGUGUGAUGUAUGAUUAAUCCCUUGUACAUGAAUCCUGUUUUACGUUUCUUGAUGAGAAAUGUGUGUAUCAAGCUUAAUGUAUGUCUUUGAUGAGAUACCAGUGGAUUGUGUGACAGAUUAAAAGGGUUUCAAUCCCUUGACCCACAGCAGAUAGUAGUCAUUGGUAUAGGCCCUGAGGGCCAUUUCAGAUUGGCAUAUCUGAGUAGCAGUAGUUAAGCCUGGAGAGUUUUACAGGAUUGUUGAGUAUUUUUUAUCAUGUAUGGGAUUUAUCAGGUACACAGAGAGUAUAGUCGGCUUGCUACGGGUCUCGGCGGCCUUAAGCCGAUCUGGAUCCUAGUGCCAGUAAUGGUUCGGACCGUUACAGAGGGGUACCGGUUUUCGGGCUAUUACAGAUUGGUAUCAGAGCAUAGGGCCUCAAGAGUACGGUGUGUUGAGCAUCUUUGUUCACGGACUAGAGAUAUCCCACAUCGGAAAGGGGUGUUGUCGUGUAUAGGAGGGUAAGCACAAUAAGUAAAAUGAUGUCCACUAGGAUAGGAUGUGGAGUCCUGUCUUGCAUGAUGAUGUGAAAUGCCAUGAUGAGCUGCAUGUGCAUUAUUGAUAUGUUUGAUAUGUGCUGAGGAUUCAUGUGUUCUCAUAUGGAUCCUUUGAUGAUAUAUUUGUGUGUUGUUGUGCUUUUCAGAGGUAGGAUGAGAGGAACUCGUCGAUCUGCUAGAUUGACUGGAGCUCCGCCGGAGAAUGAGGACAUGGAUGCCCAUCUCCCCGUUCUGCAAAGGGCAACAUCAGAUAGAUUAAGUAGAGAAGGUACAUCAAGGGACCCUAAAAGGUCUGUUGAUAAGAGUAGAAGGGGAGUUGUUCAGCGUGGUAAGUCAGGGGAUAUGAGGGAAGUAGAGGAGGAUGAGCAGAGCAGAGAUGGUAGCUUUGGCAUGAGUAGGUUGGGAGGAGAUAUGGGUGAGUCCCAAGGAGGCACUCAGGCCUCGAGAUUUGUUCCACCUCAGUAUUCGCCCUACCCGUGGGGGUCAGGGUAUUCGAUGGGUGGUACAGCGGGUUUUCCUGGGUAUAACCCAUAUCCCACCUUUAUGCCUUAUCCUUCCUUCUACCCGCCAUAUCCACAGUAUACCAUGUUCCCACCCUUCUUUGGUUAUCCAAGUUCAGCAAACCUUAACCCAGGGCAUGUUGCACCUCCUCCACCACCAGUAGAACCAGUAGCCCCAGUUGUCCAAACACCCAAGCCUAGUUCACUUGGAGGAAGUAUGGUACAGAUGACAGACUAUUUGAGGUUGGAUGUUCCCAAGUUUGAGACUGGUGAUGACCCUUUUGAGUAUCUCAAAACGGUCAAGAUGAUAACUGAUGAGUUGGGAGCUAGUGAGAGUAGAGCCAUUCAGAUGGCAGGGGUCACAUUGAAACGUGAGAAGGCAAGGGAAUGGUUCAACCAGUAUGUGGACCCGAGGGUAAAAAGCUUAUCCUGGGAGCAGUUUGCUACAGAGUUUACAGGAUGGGCAUUUCCAGAUAGCUCAAGGGAGCGUAAGGAGAGUGAAUCUGAGUAGCUAAGACAGACAGAAAACAUGAGUAUAGAUAGUUACCCAGAGAAUAUUGAUCAUUUCCCUUCGGGUGAGGCUGCUGCAAAGAAUAAAAAGAAAGUUAGAGGCCUGAAAGGGUCCAAGAAAAGAGAGUUCUAGAAGAGGUUCAAGUCUAGUAUGGGUUUUAGCGAUGGCUCGAGUUCUGGUUGGGAUAGUUCUAGAUGUACGAGGUGCGGUAGGAGGCACAAAGGAGUCUGUCUCGUAGGGACAACAGCAUGUUUCAGGUGCGGACAGGAGGGGCACAUAGCACGUGAGUGUUCCACCGCGACUUUGAUAACACAGUCCCAGCAGACAGCCUCAGACAGAGUGGCUCAGCCAGGAGCUCUAGCCAUGGCACAGGGCAGAGGCAGAGGGAGCGAGAUCACUCCUUCUUCCACAGGUUCCCCAGGUGAAGGUCCAUCAGUACCAGCACGGAUCUUCGCUUUGACGCAGCAGGAGGCUCACACAUCGGACAUGGCGGUGACAGGUACAUUUCACUUCCAUAUGUUUUGAUGUGUCUGCUAUUAGAGACUCUGAUGUUUUGCUUUCCUUAGGGCUUUGAGAGCCAUAGAGAGUAGGGGUUUGAUAGCUUCUGGGAUUAGAAUGUCCUCUUUGGGUCAAUAGACUCAAGUGUGAUCCAUCAGCGGCAGAGUCAGUCUGCCAGUUGAGUUCAGUGCUAGUUGUGAGUAGGUGCCUUCCAGCUGACCUAGUGGUUCUAGGGUGAUUGUUUGAUGUCAUUCUAGGGGUGGAUGGGCUAGCUACUCAUAGUACUGCCUUAGAUAGUAGAGAUAGAGUAGUCAGGCUUAGAGAUCAGGACGGAUCACAAGUAGUUUGUUGAGGGGACAGUGUAGAGAUGCCGGGAGUUUAAUAUCAGCCCUAUAGGCUCUUAAACUGUUUAGGAGAGGUUAUCAGAGGUUUCUUGCUUGUGUCAGAGAGCAUAGCAGUUAGUUAGAUCAGGAGGGAAACCAGUUUUAGUGCCCGCAGCCAGAGAAAAGCGUUAGAUAUUGACCCAGACAAGUCAUCAGGUUUACCACCUGCUAAGAGAAUAGAAUGGGAUAUAAGAAUGGUGUCUAGACCCAGAACCAUUCCUAGUCUUCUCUGCAGGAUGGCACCAGUAGAGUGAGAGAGAUAGUAAAAGCCAAACGAGUAGUAGCUAGAGGUUAGUGAGCCAGGAAAGAGCUCGAAGUGUUGCUAUGAGAUGCUAUGGCCUUGGAUUUUAUCCAGGUAUAGGGAGAGUGAUCUCUCAUCUCCGAAUGUAGCCCUCAAGUAUAAGAAAUAAUUCAGAGAACAGAGGAAGAAAAGAGUAAGAAUAAGUAUAAGUUCAGAAAGAGAUUUCAGUUUAGUCUGGGAUUAGGUGGUGGUUGAGGCAGAGGAAAGGGUUGGCCUUUCCAUUAGUAGGUUCCCGAGGGAAGUUCCGUUAGCUUUGGCUCGGAUCUUCACCCUGACUCAACAGGAGGCUAUCACAUCGAACACGGUAACGUCAGGUACGUUCACUUGUAGAUGUUCGAAUGUGUAUACUGUUUGUUUUGAAUCCUAGUGUUUCUCUUUCCUUGUUGCUUUGAGUGAGCUGUUGAUAGAGUGGGUUUGAUGACUUCUGGGCCUAGAGUGUGUCUCUGGGUCAGUGGACCCGAGUAUGAUCCAUCUAAGGCAGAGUCAGUCAGUCAGUUCAGUUCAGAGUUUGUGGUGAGUAGAUGCUAUCCAGCUAUCCAGCUGACCUUAUGGUUCUAGAGUUGGCUAUUUGAUGUCAUUCUAGGGCGGAUUGGCUAGCUACUCAUAGUACUACCUAUGUCUGCAGAGACAAGGUAGGAGAGUUCAGAGUGCUGGAUGGAUCAGAGGUAGUCCUUGGAGGGGACAGAGUAUAGGUGCCUAGAGGUUUGAUGUCAACCCAGCAGGCUCCUAGUUUACACAGGAAAGGUUGUCAGAGGGUUCUAGCUUUUGUGAGCAAGUUUUGUAGUCAGAUCUGGGAAUUAGCCUCAAUGCCUGUAGCUAGUGAGUUCUAGAUGUUUUUCCCAUACGAGCUUGCAGGUUUACCAUCUGUCAGGGAGCCAGAGAUUGGAAUAGAAGUGGUGUCUGGACGCGGAACCAUUUCUUUCCUUCUACCCUACAAGAUGGCACCUACAGAGAGAGAAUAGGCAGAAUAGUAUAGAGAAGCUUGGUAGAUAAAGGUUGUAUCCGACUUAGUACCUCACCCUGGAAUGUUCCAGUGUCAGUGUGAGAAACAAAGGAUGAAACCUUAAGAUUUUGUAACGACUGUGAGCAGUUGAACAAAAUCACUACCAAGGACAGGUGUUCCGAUGCAGAAUGGAUGCUCUAUAGGAAUAGCUAGUAGACGCUAGUUGUUUUCCAUAAUAGAUCUGAGAGUCGGGAACUAUAUGUCGAAAGUUAGAAAAAAAAAACAAAAAAAUUCAGUUUAGCAGUUGAAUAGAGAUGAGAUCCUUAUCGAUCAAGGAGUUUAUAGUGAAGAGUCUAAAGCAGAGGUAAGGGGUAAAACUGCUCAACGACUCUGAGUAUACAAAACAGUAUCUACUGGGCGAGGCAGAUGAGAUGUUAGCUGCCCUCAGUCAGAAGUUGCUUACCAGUUUAUCCGAUAGACAUAGGUAUUACUUCAGACUGAUGAUCGGUUGGAUCAACUGGCAGGAGCCAGUUGUUUUCCAAGCUAAAUCUGAAGUCUGGGUGCUAGCUGUUGAGAGCUAGAGUUAGUCCAGUGUAGUAGGAAGGGAUCAAAAGAGAAGAAGCUAGUAUAGUAAAGAAGAAGAAAGGCGGGCAAGGAUCAGAGUGCGCAGUAAAAGUAUAGGAUAGUUCAGAAAAAUAGAGAAGCAUGCCCAUUAUCUACUACGUGUUGUAGAUUUUAAGAGAACACAGCAUAGAGGCCAAGUUCUGUAAUAUGAGUUCGAUUUCGGGGCAUGUCUGGGAGAAUCGUGACGUGUCACAAUACGAUUUCUGAAGUACGUAGAGAGUUGAAGCUAUAGGCAAGUCAUCUAACAUUUCCUUAGAGUUGUUGAUCCUCUGACCAGGUUGAGUAAAGAGAAGCAAAGGUUAGUGUAACCAGAGUAGUGUGAAUAAAGCUGAGAAGAGCCAAAGAGAAAGGAAAGUCAGUAGUCAGAUGAAAGAAUCAAGUCAGUUGUGUACUGGCAGAAGUGAUAAACAGUCAGUGUAGAGUGUGGACACAGAUUAAGCAGUUAAGAGUCAGCAGAGUCAGGUAAUGAUUGUAUACGACCCGGGAGUGUUUACUCCAGUAAUAUCUGUGUCUCGUUUCAAAGGAAGGUGUUAGGCUUUCCUUAAUUGCUUGUUUACAUGUGUGUUUGUUGUGUGAACAUUCGAGGACGAAUGUUCUUAAAGGGGGGAAGAAUGUAAUACCAAGCUAGAUUCAGACAUCGGAAUUCCUACCGUCCGGUGGAAUGCGAGGAUGUCAGAGGUUUCUAGAAGGGUAAGAGAAAGGUUUGUUAAAAUGUGUUCGAGUGUUUUUGAGUGUUUUAACGGUUUAGAAUGGAAAUGGAUUGAGUUUUGAAGAGAAAAGGCCAAGGAGGCAUUUUGCCAUGUUCGACCGCCGAAGGUAAUGUUCGGCCGCCGAAAAUGCCCUAGAUUCGGCCCCCGAAAGUCUGAGUUCGGCCGCCGAACGUUGCAUGGUUUUGCAUGCGAUUCGGCUGCCGAAGCUGAGGCGGUUGUUCAUCUAUAAAGGGCACCGAGUCCAGAAAAAAGGAGGAGGAUUCUUCUCUCUUUCUGGCCUAGGUGAGUUCUUGAUCUCCUUGGAUUGUUUUCAUGGUUUUUCUUCA